This 1470-nucleotide ribosomal RNA is filed under the name uncultured bacterium. RNAcentral's name for it is "bacterial SSU rRNA". It matches the Rfam family "Bacterial small subunit ribosomal RNA". The record is from RNAcentral.
GUUUGAUUAUGGCUCAGGACGAACGCUGGCGGCACGCUUAACACAUGCAAGUCGAACGAGAGAAGAGAAGCUUGCUUUUCUGAUCUAGUGGCGGACGGGUGAGUAACACGUGAGCAAUCUGCCUUUCAGAGGGGGAUACCGAUUGGAAACGAUCGUUAAUACCGCAUAACAUAAUUGAACCGCAUGAUUUGAUUAUCAAAGAUUUAUCGCUGAAAGAUGAGCUCGCGUCUGAUUAGCUAGUUGGUAAGGUAACGGCUUACCAAGGCGACGAUCAGUAGCCGGACUGAGAGGUUGAUCGGCCACAUUGGGACUGAGACACGGCCCAGACUCCUACGGGAGGCAGCAGUGGGGAAUAUUGCACAAUGGAGGAAACUCUGAUGCAGCGAUGCCGCGUGAGGGAAGAAGGUUUUAGGAUUGUAAACCUCUGUCUUCAGGGACGAAAAAUGACGGUACCUGAGGAGGAAGCUCCGGCUAACUACGUGCCAGCAGCCGCGGUAAUACGUAGGGAGCGAGCGUUGUCCGGAAUUACUGGGUGUAAAGGGAGCGUAGGCGGGAUCGCAAGUCAGAUGUGAAAACUAUGGGCUUAACCCAUAAACUGCAUUUGAAACUGUGGUUCUUGAGUGAAGUAGAGGUAAGCGGAAUUCCUAGUGUAGCGGUGAAAUGCGUAGAUAUUAGGAGGAACAUCAGUGGCGAAGGCGGCUUACUGGGCUUUAACUGACGCUGAGGCUCGAAAGCGUGGGGAGCAAACAGGAUUAGAUACCCUGGUAGUCCACGCCGUAAACGAUGAUUACUAGGUGUGGGGGGACUGACCCCUUCCGUGCCGCAGCAAACGCAAUAAGUAAUCCACCUGGGGAGUACGACCGCAAGGUUGAAACUCAAAGGAAUUGACGGGGGCCCGCACAAGCAGUGGAGUAUGUGGAUUAAUUCGAAGCAACGCGAAGAACCUUACCAGGUCUUGACAUCGUAUGCAUAGCUCAGAGAUGAGUGAAAUCUCUUCGGAGACAUAUAGACAGGUGGUGCAUGGUUGUCGUCAGCUCGUGUCGUGAGAUGUUGGGUUAAGUCCCGCAACGAGCGCAACCCUUACUGUUAGUUGCUACGCAAGAGCACUCUAGCAGGACUGCCGUUGACAAAACGGAGGAAGGUGGGGAUGACGUCAAAUCAUCAUGCCCCUUAUGACCUGGGCCUCACACGUACUACAAUGGCUGUCAACAGAGGGAAGCAAAGCCGCGAGGUGGAGCAAACCCCUAAAAGCAGUCUUAGUUCGGAUUGUAGGCUGCAACCCGCCUACAUGAAGUCGGAAUUGCUAGUAAUCGCAGAUCAGCAUGCUGCGGUGAAUACGUUCCCGGGCCUUGUACACACCGCCCGUCACGCCAUGGGAGUCGGUAACACCCGAAGCCUGUAGUCUAACCGCAAGGAGGACGCAGUCGAAGGUGGGAUUGAUGACUGGGGUGNNNUCGUAACAAGGUAACC